RNAcentral lists this ribosomal RNA (233 nucleotides) under uncultured bacterium. RNAcentral describes it as "partial 16S ribosomal RNA". It matches the Rfam family "Bacterial small subunit ribosomal RNA", at positions 118 to 347 of the family's 1533-position model. The record is from RNAcentral.
UGGGUGAUCUGCCCUGCACUUCGGGAUAAGCCUGGGAAACUGGGUCUAAUACCGGAUAUGACCAUUGGUUGCAUGACUGGUGGUGGAAAGCUUUUGCGGUGUGGGAUGGGCCCCGCGGCCUAUCAGCUUGUUGGUGGGGUAAUGGCCUACCAAGGCGACGACGGGUAGCCGGCCUGAGAGGGCGACCGGCCACACUGGGACUGAGACACGGCCCAGACCUCCGUACGGGAGCA